GCUGGGCAUGGUGGCGCAUGCCUGUAGUCCCAGCAGCUUGGGAGGCUGAGGCAGGAGGUUUGUGAGUUCAAAGCCAGCCUCAGCAAUUUAGCAAGGCACCCUGUCUCUA
RNAcentral lists this small RNA (109 nucleotides) under Marmota monax (woodchuck). The record is from RNAcentral. Lineage: Eukaryota; Metazoa; Chordata; Mammalia; Rodentia; Sciuridae.